Long non-coding RNA from Oncorhynchus keta (chum salmon), 1002 nucleotides. RefSeq lists it as uncharacterized. The record is from RefSeq and is a predicted model, not a curated record. The transcript has 3 exons. Lineage: Eukaryota; Metazoa; Chordata; Actinopteri; Salmoniformes; Salmonidae.
CUGCUCGUUGAGGAGAGAACGACUAACACCCAGUCCUGUGGGUGGAGACUGCUCGUUGAGGAGAGAACGACUAACACCCAGUCCUGUGGGUGGAGACUGCUCGUUGAGGAGAGAACGACUAACACCCAGUCCUGUGGGUGGAGACUGCUCAUUGAGGAGAGAACGACUAACACCCAGUCCUGUGGGUGGAGACUGCUCGUUGAGGACAAAGGUCCAAGGAGGCAGAGACAGAAUUUGGCGUUGGGGAGUCCAUUGCUCCGAUCCUGCCUGGUGUCACCGGUACAGGCUGAUGGCAGUGAUGUAAUGGUGUGGGGGAAUGUUUUAUACCCCGAAGAAGUCAGGCUGUUCUGGAGGCAAAGGCGGGUCCGACUUGGUACCAAAUGGGUGUACCUAAUUAACAGUCAGACUGUAGGUGUGUUUUAUAAGAGACAACAGUCAGACUGUAGGUGUGUUGUUGUGAUUUAUAAGAGACAACAGUCAGACUGUAGGUGUGUUGUUGUGGUUUAUAAGAGACAACAGUCAGACUGUAGGUGUGUUGUUGUGGUUUAUAAGAGACAACAGUCAGACUGUAGGUGUGUUGUUGUGGUUUAUAAGAGACAACAGUCAGACUGUAGGUGUGUUGUUGUGGUUUAUAAGAGACAACAGUCAGACUGUAGGUGUGUUGUGGUUUAUAAGAGACAACAGUCAGACUGUAGGUGUGUUUUAUAAGAGACAACAGUCAGACUGUAGGUGUGUUGUUGUGGUUUAUAAGAGACAACAGUCAGACUGUAGGUGUGUUGUGGUUUAUAAGAGACAACAGUCAGACUGUAGGUGUGUUGUUGUGGUUUAUAAGAGACAACAGUCAGACUGUAGGUGUGUUGUUGUGGUUUAUAAGAGACAACAGUCAGACUGUAGGUGUGUUGUUAAACAGGAUCAUUUAUAAGAGACAACAGUCAGAACUGACUCACUAUGAUGGUGCAGUCAGCUGAGCCACUAUACAGUCUGUUCCUACAGGGAGGGAGA